CCAGAGCCCUAUGGCAUACAGAAGGACCUGGGGAGAGGGGUUGGGAUGUAGCCCUGACACACAGACCCGAGAGGAAGAUGUUUAUGCAUGCUCUGUGUGUGUGAGAGGAAGAUGUGUAUGCAUGCUCUGUGUGAGAAGGUGUUUAUGCAUGCUCUGUGUGUGAGAGAGGAAGAUGUGUAUGCAUGCUCUGUGUGUGUGAGAGGAAGGUGUUUAUGCAUGCUCUGUGUGUGUGAGAGGAAGGUGUUUAUGCAUGCUCUGUGUGUGAGAGGAAGGUGUUUAUGCAUGCUCUGUGUGUGAGAGAGGAAGGUGUUUAUGCAUGCUCUGUGUGUGAGAGGAAGGUGUUUAUGCAUGCUCUGUGUGUGUGAGAGGAAGGUGUUUAUGCAUGCUCUGUGUGUGAGAGGAAGGUGUUUAUGCAUGCUCUGUGUGUGUGUGUGAGAGGAAGGUGUUUAUGCAUGCUCUGUGUGUGUGUGUGAGAGGAAGAUGUUUAUGCAUGCUCUGUGUGUGUGUGUGAGAGGAAGAUGUUUAUGCAUGCUCUGUGUGUGUGUGUGAGAGGAAGGUGUUUAUGCAUGCUCUGUGUGUGUGUGUGAGAGGAAGGUGUUUAUGCAUGCUCU
RNAcentral lists this long non-coding RNA (611 nucleotides) under Salmo salar (Atlantic salmon). RNAcentral describes it as "lncRNA (ENSSSAG00000092303.1)". The record is from RNAcentral. Lineage: Eukaryota; Metazoa; Chordata; Actinopteri; Salmoniformes; Salmonidae.